Molecule: long non-coding RNA, 1262 nt
Organism: Malaclemys terrapin pileata
Lineage: Eukaryota; Metazoa; Chordata; Testudines; Emydidae
Exons: 4
Source: RefSeq, a predicted model, not a curated record
CCAAAGAACAAUUUAUUUCCUUAAAAGGAGUCAGAUUUUCUGUGAGACUGGACUGGCUAGGGCACUAGAAUCGGACUUUGGAGCCUUGGAUUCCAUUCCCAGUUCAGCUCUAGACUUCUGCAGUGACUUUGGGUACGGGAUACCGCCCUACUUGCACUCCUGCUUGUGACCACAGAAAAAUCCCUUGGUGGGGUUUGAAGGACUGGUCACCUGCCUGGGCCUUUGUUGGAGUUGAGAUGAUCUCAGAUCCUAGACACUUGUAGCAGCUGGAAACAAUGAAACAAUGAAGAAAGCCAAGACCAUGUGGCCUGUCAGAUCUCAGUAGACCACCGGUGAUCUCUGGUCACAAUUUGAGAACCACCAGAUCUACAGGAUCAUGAGACAAUGUAAAUCAAUCCCUACUUCCACACCUGUGGAGGGCCUUUGUGUGAACCAAUGCAGUAUGAUGGAAGGUGGAGCUAUCACCUGCACAGAGGAUGAGAGUGGAGUGCGUAGGCUGGACCAUAUCUGAGAGAUAUACCACUGCAUGGAAGCUCCUAUCUUCCAACCACAAGGGAAGGGAGUGUGUGAAAAGGCCCCACAACCAGUGGGCUGAAGUAGUCACCAUGACGCAGCUUGGCAGCUGCUCCAGGGCCCAUCUUCCCACCUCUACAAUGCAAAUGUACGGCUACUUGGGCUUCCAGCUGAGGGCUCUAAAUACAAAUUUACAACACAUCUGAAUAGAGUUGCAAACCUCUAUACAAAAUAGCUCCAUGUUGUCUCCACAACACUUAUUUCAAUUACUUGUCAUAAAAAAAAAUUGAUGUGGAUUGAAAUAACCAUUUUGUCCAGGGAAGUGACCAGCAUCACUUAAUAUAGGAUAUUUUGGGUGAACACUAACGCAGUAACACAACACAUGAAUGCCAACACUUCACUUGUCCCAGAGGAAAACGAAUGUGGUUCUUUCUCUUUGGAAUUCAGGUGCCUGCCACUGAGAUGAGAAAGGACACAACAAACAAUAUGCUUUAAUUUGUCUCAAGGCUUAAAGGGAUUCCAGUAUUUAAAAGUUCCCUGUUCCUAUUCAUGAAUGCAGAUUACACUGGUCUACAAUUUUUGAGAAGUCGUCUGCUUCAGAGAUAAAAUGUGCUAUUUAUUGUGUAUUUUGAUGUGCUGAAUUCAAAUAUGAUAAUUAAAACAACUGAUUGGCUACUGUUUCUAAGAUAUUUAAGUUUUUAUAUUUUAUGUCAAUGUAUAUUGUGUAGAUAGUAGAGUUUUAAUCAUAA